GGCGGGGCCUCUGAGUUUCCACUGAAACUUCAACUGGGGCAGAUUGGAGGACGCCUCGUCCUUGGGGGCUCGCCUGUCGUCGGAACUACGCCCCUUCACACCUGUCCCCGCCGAAAUAAACUGGCCUUUACGGCUUAUUUCUAGGGUUCUCACCAGUGCAGGAGGACAGACAAUUCCACGCAUCACGGACGUGUUAGAGUUCGCACUUCUUAAAGUUUCAUACAUAUACAUGAAGAAGUAUCUGAAGUACAACACGAGAGGCAAUACCCCGCAGAGAUGGUGCUUAAUUCUCCAGAAUGUAACAUACACACCA
This 313-nucleotide long non-coding RNA is filed under the name Dasypus novemcinctus (nine-banded armadillo). Its description in RNAcentral is "lncRNA (ENSDNOG00000051120.1)". Lineage: Eukaryota; Metazoa; Chordata; Mammalia; Cingulata; Dasypodidae. The record is from RNAcentral.